This 644-nucleotide ribosomal RNA is filed under the name uncultured bacterium. RNAcentral describes it as "bacterial SSU rRNA". It matches the Rfam family "Bacterial small subunit ribosomal RNA", at positions 79 to 719 of the family's 1533-position model. The record is from RNAcentral.
CUUGCUUCUCUUGAGAGCGGCGGACGGGUGAGUAAUGCCUAGGAAUCUGCCUGGUAGUGGGGGAUAACGUUCGGAAACGGACGCUAAUACCGCAUACGUCCUACGGGAGAAAGCAGGGGACCUUCGGGCCUUGCGCUAUCAGAUGAGCCUAGGUCGGAUUAGCUAGUUGGUGGGGUAAUGGCUCACCAAGGCGACGAUCCGUAACUGGUCUGAGAGGAUGAUCAGUCACACUGGAACUGAGACACGGUCCAGACUCCUACGGGAGGCAGCAGUGGGGAAUAUUGGACAAUGGGCGAAAGCCUGAUCCAGCCAUGCCGCGUGUGUGAAGAAGGUCUUCGGAUUGUAAAGCACUUUAAGUUGGGAGGAAGGGCAGUAAAUUAAUACUUUGCUGUUUUGACGUUACCGACAGAAUAAGCACCGGCUAACUCUGUGCCAGCAGCCGCGGUAAUACAGAGGGUGCAAGCGUUAAUCGGAAUUACUGGGCGUAAAGCGCGCGUAGGUGGUUAGUUAAGUUGGAUGUGAAAUCCCCGGGCUCAACCUGGGAACUGCAUUCAAAACUGACUGACUAGAGUAUGGUAGAGGGUGGUGGAAUUUCCUGUGUAGCGGUGAAAUGCGUAGAUAUAGGAAGGAACACCAGUGGCGAA